CCCAAAGUGCUGGGAUUAUGGGCGUGAGCUACCAUGCCCGGCCCACCUGUCUGGUGUUAACACCAUUCUGUUCUCUUCCAAGCUGUCUUGUCGAUGGUCUCACUGAUGCCUCUUCUGCAUUCAAAGUUCCUCGACCCGGGCCAGAUACACUCCAGUUCACAGUAGAUGUCUUCCACUUUGCUAAUGACUCCAGAAACAUGAUAUACAUCACCUGCCACCUGAAGGUCACCCUAGCUGAACAGGACCCAGAUGAACUCAACAAAGCCUGUUCCUUCAGCAAGCCUUCCAACAGCUGGUUCCCAGUGGAAGGCCCGGCUGACAUCUGUCAAUGCUGUAACAAAGGUGACUGUGGCACUCCAAGCCAUUCCAGGAGGCAGCCCCAUGUCGUGAGCCAGUGGUCCAGGUCUGCUUCCCGUAACCGCAGGCAUGUGACAGAAGAAGCAGAUGUCACCGUGGGGCCACUGAUCUUCCUGGACAGGAGUGGUGACUAUGAAGUAGAGCAGUGGGCCUUGCCUUCUGACACCUCAGUGGUGCUGCUGGGUAUAGGCCUGGCCGUGGUGGCAUCCCUGACUCUGACUGCUGUUAUCCUGGUUCUCACCAGGAGGUGUCGCACUGCCUCCCGCCCUGUGUCUGCUUCCGAAUAAAAGAAGAAAGCAAUA
This 659-nucleotide small RNA is filed under the name Pongo abelii (Sumatran orangutan). RNAcentral describes it as "retained intron". Lineage: Eukaryota; Metazoa; Chordata; Mammalia; Primates; Hominidae. The record is from RNAcentral.